This 460-nucleotide ribosomal RNA is filed under the name uncultured bacterium. RNAcentral's name for it is "partial 16S ribosomal RNA". It matches the Rfam family "Bacterial small subunit ribosomal RNA", at positions 338 to 795 of the family's 1533-position model. The record is from RNAcentral.
CCUACGGGGGGCAGCAGUGAGGAAUAUUGGUCAAUGGACGAGAGUCUGAUCCAGCCAAGUAGCGUGAAGGAUGACUGCCCUAUGGGUUGUAAACUUCUUUUAUAUGGGAAUAAAAUGUUCCACGUGUGGGAUUUUGUAUGUACCAUAUGAAUAAGGAUCGGCUAACUCCGUGCCAGCAGCCGCGGUAAUACGGAGGAUCCGAGCGUUAUCCGGAUUUAUUGGGUUUAAAGGGAGCGUAGGUGGAUUGUUAAGUCAGUUGUGAAAGUUUGCGGCUCAACCGUAAAAUUGCAGUUGAAACUGGCAGUCUUGAGUGCAGUAGAGGUGGGCGGAAUUCGUGGUGUAGCGGUGAAAUGCUUAGAUAUCACGAAGAACUCCGAUUGCGAAGGCAGCUCGCUGGACUGCAACUGACACUGAGGCUCGAAAGUGUGGGGAGCAAACAGGAUUAGAUACCCGAGUAGUC